This 448-nucleotide ribosomal RNA is filed under the name uncultured Veillonellaceae bacterium. RNAcentral's name for it is "bacterial SSU rRNA". It matches the Rfam family "Bacterial small subunit ribosomal RNA", at positions 28 to 439 of the family's 1533-position model. The record is from RNAcentral. Lineage: Bacteria; Bacillati; Bacillota; Negativicutes; Veillonellales; Veillonellaceae.
GACGAACGCUGGCGGCGUGCUUAACACAUGCAAGUCGAACGGGAAGAGAUGAAGAGCUUGCUCUUUAUCGANAAUCCAGUGGGCCAAACGGGUGGAGUAACACGUAAACAACCUGCCUUCAGGAUGGGGACAACAGACGGAAACGGNACUGCUUUAAAUACCGNAAUACGUUCCACGGGCCGCAUGACCUGUGGAAGAAAGGGUAGCCUCUACCUGUAAGCUAUCGCCUGAAGAGGGGUUUGCGUCUGAUUAGGCAGUUGGUGGGGUAACGGCCCACCAAACCAACGAUUAGUAGCCGGUCUGAGAGGAUGAACGGCCACACUGGAACUGAGACACGGUCCAGACUCCUACGGGAGGCAGCAGUGGGGAAUCUUCCGCAAUGGACGAAAGUCUGACGGAGCAACGCCGCGUGAGUGAAGACGGCCUUCGGGUUGUAAAGCUCUGUGAU